ACAUGCAAGUCGAGCGGACAGAAGGGAGCUUGCUCCCGGAUGUUAGCGGCGGACGGGUGAGUAACACGUGGGUAACCUGCCUGUAAGACUGGGAUAACUCCGGGAAACCGGAGCUAAUACCGGAUAGUUCCUUGAACCGCAUGGUUCAAGGAUGAAAGACGGUUUCGGCUGUCACUUACAGAUGGACCCGCGGCGCAUUAGCUAGUUGGUGAGGUAACGGCUCACCAAGGCGACGAUGCGUAGCCGACCUGAGAGGGUGAUCGGCCACACUGGGACUGAGACACGGCCCAGACUCCUACGGGAGGCAGCAGUAGGGAAUCUUCCGCAAUGGACGAAAGUCUGACGGAGCAACGCCGCGUGAGUGAUGAAGGUUUUCGGAUCGUAAAGCUCUGUUGUUAGGGAAGAACAAGUGCAAGAGUAACUGCUUGCACCUUGACGGUACCUAACCAGAAAGCCACGGCUAACUACGUGCCAGCAGCCGCGGUAAUACGUAGGUGGCAAGCGUUGUCCGGAAUUAUUGGGCGUAAAGGGCUCGCAGGCGGUUUCUUAAGUCUGAUGUGAAAGCCCCCGGCUCAACCGGGGAGGGUCAUUGGAAACUGGGAAACUUGAGUGCAGAAGAGGAGAGUGGAAUUCCACGUGUAGCGGUGAAAUGCGUAGAGAUGUGGAGGAACACCAGUGGCGAAGGCGACUCUCUGGUCUGUAACUGACGCUGAGGAGCGAAAGCGUGGGGAGCGAACAGGAUUAGAUACCCUGGUAGUCCACGCCGUAAACGAUGAGUGCUAAGUGUUAGGGGGUUUCCGCCCCUUAGUGCUGCAGCUAACGCAUUAAGCACUCCGCCUGGGGAGUACGGUCGCAAGACUGAAACUCAAAGGAAUUGAC
Molecule: ribosomal RNA, 879 nt
Filed under: Bacillus sp. 97B3_12AR2A
Lineage: Bacteria; Bacillati; Bacillota; Bacilli; Caryophanales; Bacillaceae
Description: bacterial SSU rRNA
Rfam family: Bacterial small subunit ribosomal RNA
Source: RNAcentral